UACGAAGGGGGCUAGCGUUGCUCGGAAUCACUGGGCGUAAAGCGCACGUAGGCGGACUCUUAAGUCGGUGGUGAAAUCCUGGAGCUCAACUCCAGAACUGCCUUCGAUACUGAGAGUCUCGAGUCCGAGAGAGGUGAGUGGAACUGCGAGUGUAGAGGUGAAAUUCGUAGAUAUUCGCAAGAACACCAGUAGCGAAGGCGGCUCACUGGCUCGGUACUGACGCUGAGGUGCGAAAGCGUGGGGAGCAAACAGG
This 253-nucleotide ribosomal RNA is filed under the name uncultured bacterium. RNAcentral describes it as "partial 16S ribosomal RNA". It matches the Rfam family "Bacterial small subunit ribosomal RNA", at positions 524 to 776 of the family's 1533-position model. The record is from RNAcentral.